Molecule: non-coding RNA, 4140 nt
Organism: Triticum urartu
Lineage: Eukaryota; Viridiplantae; Streptophyta; Magnoliopsida; Poales; Poaceae
Source: RefSeq, a predicted model, not a curated record
UCGUUGUUUUUUUUUUCGUCUCCAACUUCCACCACCAUCGCCCCAUGCUUCUUUUUUCUCAAUCGAUUUUUCCCCUCGACUCAAAAACCUAUCGAUCAACUUCUCUCUCUCUCUCUCUCUCUUGAUCUCUCCAAUCUCCUAUCACUUGGCCAUGUCUCUUCUAGGGUUCCCAUUUCCGCCGCCUCCCGCCUUCCUCCUCCGCCGCCGCACCUUGCCCUGGCUGCCUCGUGACCCAAACCCGCCACCCCUCUGCCUCUCCCUCUUCCUCUCCCUCGUACUCUCGUCGCCUUCUCCACCUGGACAUGGACGCACCCGCCCCAUUGCGCACGUCUGUGCGUAUUUCCCUGCAACGUCCCCAUGUCGGGAUCCGCCGCCGGCAGUCACUCGAGCGGGUUGGGGGCAUGGACGCAGCAGCCGCCCCAUUCCCCGCGUCAGUGCAUCCUCGCGUAACCCUAGAGCAUCUUCAACGUGAGAUCCGCCGCUGCCCGCCGUCUUCACUGCUCGCACGAGCUGAGCCGGCGAGCCCUCGGUUGUCUGCUCCCUCGAUCCCGCCGCUCUCCGUGGUGCCAUCUGCUGUGAAGGCCGCUGUCCACCAUCGAAGGUCGUCGGUCAGUUUGUUGUUUUCUUAAGCUACCUAAAGGAGCUCUCUAUUGACAUCAAUUUAGGAGGGCCAGCAGUAUCCUUGAUUGAGUACAGGUGUGUGCCUCGGCCUCCAGUCUGAAUGAACAACCCUUGUAUUGUCUGGUAGUGACCUAUAUGUGUUUAUGGUUCAUAAGGGAAUAAGAAAGGCCGGUAAGAUCGUCUUCUGUUGGUGAAGGUCUGUGUUAUAGAUUGUUACAACCAUUCUUUAGCUCGAGUUUUUUUAAUUGGAGAAGCCAAAAGAUGGAUUUCACAGGUCGACAAAAAAGGUUGAUGUACAUUUAUAAACCGCCUAGCAUGGAUAAGUACACCCAAUAAACAUUGCAAUGCAUCCAUAGGCUGUUCCGUGAUUUUGUAAUCUGUGACUCUUGAAAACUUGCUUUUAUGUCCUGACUCAAUAUUUGUUUUGACCAUUGGCCUUCCUAGCAGGAUGCUUGCAGUUCCAAUACCAUCAUGACUAAUUUGUGCAGUCCUCAUUUUUUAAUUCUGAGCCUUUUGUGCUUCUUAGUUGUGAUAUAGUUUGACUAGGAAAGGCAACAACAAAACUACGUCCUGGAAAUGUCAUUCUGCUUGGUCUUAUGAGUUUACUGAAUUGAAAAACUCUUGUUUCAAUGUUUUUAAUGCUCACACCAUUAUGUCAAGCAAAAUUAUGGGGUACAUGUCUUUGCUAAUACCUCCAAAUUAUUCUCUACAGUGAAGAAUCAAGCUUAUCUAUUUUAGAUCAGUGUUUUUUGUAUUCACUAAAUAAUGCCAGGGGUGAAGCCUAAACUAAGCAGUGUGCGUGAGGAAGGCAAGCGUGCUGGCGAGCGUGGGGGCGACCAUGAUGUCGCUCGGAGAAAGGGUGCACAUGGGAUUACUACCCAUUGGGUCUGCAAAUAUGAGAGGUAAAUGUUGUCACUGUAGUGCAAGGCGCGUUCUAAGUUUCAUCUUCGCACAUGAUUAUGGGCUUAUGGCAUCUGAUCAGCUUUCUCUGGACAUGCGUAAUUGCAACAUCGUCCUGAUCUUUCCAAAAAUAGAUUGUCUAUGAUUAUGAGAGUCACCACAAGAACAGACGAAAGUGGCGAGACUCGUUACGAAACAAUGCAAAUUCUUUACCCCUAGGACAGUGACAGUGCUAACAUUCAUGUAUGUAUGUUAGGAGUUACAAUAUGACAUUUUGUUUAUGUAUGUUAACAUUCAAAUAUGUUUGAUGAGAUCAAUAAUGUAUAUACGAGAUGUGAUAAAACUGAACAUAUGUUGUACUCGGCAUAUUUGAUUAAAUAUAUUAACUAACGAACCCAUACUUUAUUUAUCAUCAAGUGGCAAGGCAUGGGUAUUUAGCUCUAGUUGUGUGUGGGCUGCUCGAGCUGCGCGCCAAUGUGGAGGCCCUGCACCGCCGCCGAUGGGCUGAUUUUGUUGCACGUCGUGGUGGGGACGCCCGUGUGUGCGCUGCUUGUGCUGGGCGCUGAUGUGGUCGCCCCAGAUCAGAUGGGACGCCGUUGGAGCUGCCGCGGGAUAUGGUGGUGGUCCGUCGAUGGAGCUGGGAGCAGACGCGGAGGCAAUGGGCUCGACUCUUUGUGUGCAACUCAUGAUGACUUGGAGCACUGUCAUGGGAAGUUUUUAUUCAUCUUUACCUAUAUUUAUUGGAUUAGGUUCCAUUGGUAGGUGAGAUUCUUAUCCUAAAUGCUUUAUUCUAUUUUUGCCAAGACACUUCUCCUUAAUAUGUUUAAUAUUCAUAAUAAAUUUCUAAUGCAUUUCUAAUUAGGAUUUUUUUCUAAUGGUGAUUAAAUCUGUCAUAGCGUCAACAGGUUAAAGACGAUGUACCCUUUUCCCGUUUGGAUACCAACCAUUGCAUUCAGCAGUCAGAUCUGUUGCUUAUUUAUUUGUAGAAUCAAGUGGGUUAAAAGCAUCUACUUUUAACUAUUAACGACACUUCAAUAAAACACUCUUUUCUUAUUUGUGUGAGUACUAUUUGUUUCACCUUUUGCACCUCAUCAUCAUAGCAUCUGGUUUCAAAAAUGAAUGACUACUUGCGAAGGUAUUGUUUUUAGUUUCUACUUUUUGGUUCAACUUCUUUGAUUUUCAAUAGUUGGUCCAUUAAUCAUCUAAAAUUUUCAGUAAGAUGUUUCUACAUCAUAUUCUUGAAUGUUCCUGAUUUCACAUCCAUGGUAUCUGCUUUGCCUUAGUACCUGUUCAAGCUUCACUCAUGAUUUGUUUCUUUCUCCCUAUCAGUCUUACCAUUUUGUUUUGCUUGCUUUACCUUGUAGCUUCUUCCAGUAGUUGUUUUUUUCCUUUAUGUCAGAGCUGCUCUGUCACACUUUUUAUGCUUUUACGAUGUCCUAAUAAAAGUUUUGUGUGGGCAGAUAAUUUUUUGCUUACUACAAACCGUAAGAAACUGAAGCUUACUGAUUUGGGGCUUGCACGAGAGGAAACUAUAACUGAAAUGAUGACGACUGAAACUGGGACAUACCGAUAUGGACAUAGAGGUUAUAAAUCACUCUUUUCCACACUAGAUAGUCAAUAUUAAAAAAAUUAGGAACUAAAGCCGAAAUAAAAUGGUUCCUGGAUGUAGUUUCUCGAGUUGAUUCUUCAAAUUAUACAUCAAUUUUGUAUGCCCUCGUGAUAAAUUCCCCCCUGAAGUUUCUAGAGCGCACUGAUUUUAGGACCUUCUAUACAAAGAGAAAUCUGAUGCUCUAGAAUUUGUGUAUGAAGAUUUCUUUAAUAACAAUCGCGAAUAUAAUUAUAUUCUUCAAUUAAGUAAUAAUAAUGUAAUAUUGCAUCCUAUCAUUUACAAUCAGAUAGACAGGUGACCUUAAGUAUAAGGUUUCAAGCUAUUUAACGCUCAAUACUUGUUAUAUAAUUCUCCGUGGUAACAUCAACUGAGUUGGGCAUCAUAAUUGGCACUGAACAUCCAAAGUUAAGUUAGUGCUCACCAUUUCACGAUUAUAUUUUUGGUACUGAUAUUUUCAUAUUUCCAGUUCGUUGAAGAUAGAGAUCUGGCAUUGUAUUGAAGCUCAACUCUGCACGAAAGUGUACAACUUCACUGUUAUGUUCUGGCACUUGAAUUUGCUAUGCUUUUCAUGCCAGGAAUUUCAUGCUAGGAAUACUUACACGUUCAUUCUUAAAUCAUCUUGUUAUAUGGCAUUGUAGAUCUGAUGGAAAAGAACUUCCGUGAUAUAGGCCAGGGCGGAGGACGUUAUCAAUGGAAAACAUGGCUCCACAUGAAGGUUCACUUGCCAAUAGUCUUCAAGAAGAUGCGAAGGUCAUGGUUUUGUGUUGAUGACCCUUGAAAAAAUACCUUCUCAUUUUCUUGUUUGAAGGAACGCUAGGAGGAAUUGAGGAUGCGAAAAAUGUACAGAGGAAAGGGAGACUAGGAGAGGUGCACGGUGAGGCAUUGAUGAAUCCUAAAAAGAGAAACUUUUGUCACGGUGUUCUCAUAUCCAAACUUGAAUCAAGUAUGCUUUUUGAAUGGCUUGCACUAAAGCAGAUUAUAAUUCUUAUACUUGUGUUUUAAAUUGACUA